Long non-coding RNA from Oreochromis aureus, 1270 nucleotides. Lineage: Eukaryota; Metazoa; Chordata; Actinopteri; Cichliformes; Cichlidae. The record is from Ensembl.
GUUGAUGCUGUAUUCAUCUCUGAGACUGUCUCAUUGGUCAAAGUCAGAUUACACUGAAAGCACGAUGGCUGCAUUCACAUGGAUUCAAAUGUCUUCAUUACUGAUACUGAUGCUUCAGUUUAAAGCUGAUGUUUUUUCUUGCGAGAUGACUCUGAUGACUACUUUGGUCACAAAAGUUUUGCAGUGACUGAGUUUAAACCCUGCAGACACUGAGCCUGGUCCAGGAACCAGUCAGGAGAUGUUUUCUGGUGGUGAUGAUGAUGAUGAUCAUGAUGAUGAUGGUGGUGGCGACAGUGUGACUUACAUCACUGUGAAAGCUUCCUCCUUUCCCACUGGAGUUCCCACUCAUCCCAGCGACCUCUCUUCCACCACGGACAAACCAUAGAAACAGUAUGUUGCUAAUGAAAGGUCGCGUGCUGUUUUUCCUUGAUGCUGAUGAAUGUUUGUUUGAUAGAGUAACUUCCUUUUUCUUCCCUUUGAAAAAUAUAUUUGGUAUAAAGUUAUACACAUCACCUGUCAUGUUUUUAAAAAAGAAAAUUACUGUUGUUUAGUUUAAGCACAUUAUUAGAGCUAAAUAUUCAUCUUUAAUUUGAUGCCUUCACAGAACGCUUUGAUUAAACUGCUUCAUCUCAGCUGUUACAACAUGUAGCGUCUCAGUUCAGUAAACUCAAACAGUCUCUGCAGUUGGUUGAUUUACUUUCUACAGUUUGAUUAGUUUGUUUUAGUUGUAGUUGUUAUUAACCAAACUCCUCAAGUAGCAGUGACUGUUUUAAGGGCUCCGAUGCCAACAGACUGAGCUUUUUUAGUCCAUACUAAACUUUCUAGUAUAAAUAUACCUGUAUGUGCACUGUAAAUAUGAUCUGUGUUACUGAAUGACAUAGUUUACAGUAGUUUAUUAUGUGUCUUGUUUGCUGCCUUUAUUCAUUAUAUAAACAUAAUAUUGAGUAUUUUGGUCUUUAGUUCUUGUUAUAGUUUAGUCUCAGUUUUACUGUUGAAUUUGUUCUCUUAGAGUUUCCUGUCACAUCUUCUUGUGCCAAUUUUCUUAUGUUAAGUUCAUUCAUGUGUCUGUUCCCACAUUUAGUUAUGGUUCUCACUUCCUGUUUUAUUGUCUUUGUGUUUAGUUUUACUAAUUAAAUUGUCUUUGAUUAGUUUCACUUACAUUUCAUCAACCAGCCGUGUUCACUUCCUGUAAUUAUGAUACUCUCGUUUAUAAGUAGUGUUGUCUUUCUUUCACUCUUUGCCUUAAUGUUUCUUAUCCUGCCUGUGAUUU